CCUACGGGAGGCUGCAGUGAGGAAUAUUGGUCAAUGGGCGCGAGCCUGAACCAGCCAAGUAGCGUGAAGGAUGACUGCCCUACGGGUUGUAAACUUCUUUUAUAAAGGAAUAAAGUGAGGCACGUGUGCCUUUUUGUAUGUACUUUAUGAAUAAGGAUCGGCUAACUCCGUGCCAGCAGCCGCGGUAAUACGGAGGAUCCGAGCGUUAUCCGGAUUUAUUGGGUUUAAAGGGAGCGUAGAUGGGUUGUUAAGUCAGUUGUGAAAGUUUGCGGCUCAACCGUAAAAUUGCAAUUGAUACUGGCAGCCUUGAGUACAGUUGAGGUAGGCGGAAUUCGUGGUGUAGCGGUGAAAUGCUUAGAUAUCACGCAGAACUCCGAUUGCGAAGGCAGCUUACUAAACUAUAACUGACACUGAAGCACGAAAGCGUGGGGAUCAAACAGGAUUAGAUACCCUUGUAGUC
RNAcentral lists this ribosomal RNA (460 nucleotides) under uncultured bacterium. Its description in RNAcentral is "partial 16S ribosomal RNA". It matches the Rfam family "Bacterial small subunit ribosomal RNA", at positions 338 to 795 of the family's 1533-position model. The record is from RNAcentral.